UUACGACUACAUAUCAGGCAUAUCAAUAAGCGGAGGAAAAGAAACUAACUAGGAUUCCCUUAGUAACGGCGAGUGAAGCGGGAAGAGCUCAAAUUUGAAAUCUUCAAGGUUUUACCUUGACGAAUUGUAGUUUAAAGAAGUGUUUUCUGUUGAAGUUUCGGUAAAAGUUCUUUGGAAUAGGACAUCAUAGAGGGUGAGAAUCCCGUAUUUGACCGUUAUUUUCAGCUGUGUGAUACACUUUCAAAGAGUCGGAUUGUUUGGGAAUGCAGUCCAAAAUGGGUGGUAAAUUUCAUCUAAAGCUAAAUAUUGGCGAGAGACCGAUAGCGAACAAGUACCGUGAGGGAAAGGUGAAAAGAACUUUGAAAAGAGAGUUAAACAGUACGUGAAAUUGUCAAAAGGGAAGCGUUUGACGCCAGUGUUGUUUUCUCGAAAAUCAAUUAAAAAUAAAUUUGAUUUUGUGUUGUAUUGACUUUAAAAGCUUUCUUCACUUUUUUCAUGUUUAUUUUUAAUGCACUUUUCGUUUAACAAGUCAGCAUCAGUUUCCUUUUGUUGUAAAAGAGUCAUUGGAAGGUGGCUUUCCUUUCGGAUGAAAGUGUUUAUAGCCUUUGACUUCUGCAAUCGGAGAGAUUGAGGUCUGCAGCGUAGAUCCUUCGGGGUUAGAUACAUUUGUGCUAAGUUAUAGCCUUUCAUAGACAACUUGUUGACUAUGAUCAGUCAUGUAGCUUACUCGCUUAUGUCUAUUUUACCUACGCUUAGGAUGUUGACGCGCGUGUGUGCGUG
Molecule: ribosomal RNA, 780 nt
Filed under: uncultured Neocallimastigales
Lineage: Eukaryota; Fungi; Neocallimastigomycota; Neocallimastigomycetes; Neocallimastigales
Description: partial large subunit ribosomal RNA
Rfam family: Eukaryotic large subunit ribosomal RNA
Source: RNAcentral